RNAcentral lists this ribosomal RNA (496 nucleotides) under uncultured bacterium. Its description in RNAcentral is "partial 16S ribosomal RNA". It matches the Rfam family "Bacterial small subunit ribosomal RNA", at positions 899 to 1397 of the family's 1533-position model. The record is from RNAcentral.
ACUCAAAGGAAUUGACGGGGGCCCGCACAAGCGGUGGAGCAUGUGGUUCAAUUCGACGCAACGCGAAGAACCUUACCUGGGCUCGAAAUGUAGUGGAAGCCGGAUGAAAGUCUUGCGCCCGCAAGGGCCGCUGCAUAGGUGCUGCAUGGCUGUCGUCAGCUCGUGUCGUGAGAUGUUGGGUUAAGUCCCGCAACGAGCGCAACCCUUAUCUUUAGUUGCUAAGCCGCAAGGCAGCACUCUAAAGAGACUGUCGGCCACAAGCCGGAGGAAGGUGGGGAUGACGUCAAGUCCUCAUGGCCUUUAUGUCCAGGGCUACACACGUGCUACAAUGGGCGGUACAAAGCGCUGCAAACCCGCGAGGGGAAGCCAAUCGCAAAAAACCGCUCUCAGUUCGGAUUGCAGUCUGCAACUCGGCUGCAUGAAGCUGGAAUCGCUAGUAAUCGCGGAUCAGCACGCCGCGGUGAAUACGUUCCCGGGCCUUGUACACACCGCCCGU